This 28-nucleotide small RNA is filed under the name Bombyx mori (domestic silkworm). Its description in RNAcentral is "ovarian small RNA-25524". The record is from RNAcentral. Lineage: Eukaryota; Metazoa; Arthropoda; Insecta; Lepidoptera; Bombycidae.
UCAGAAAUCUAUAAGCAAAGUCGUAGUC